CAUCAGUAUAUGUUAAUACAGAUAAAAAUUAUAAAUAAUUCAUCAAUUUUUUAUUUUUUAUUUUUUUCAAAAAGUAGAGCCCUCAGAUCUCAUAGCUUCUAGAAUCACAGACGGCUAAUCCGGUGGGGAUCCAUCAGAGGCCUCGAACGCACCACCAUCACAACCAAGCAACCACGUGAAUGUGUGUGCGGUGUAUUUAUCUAUCAAUAGUAAAGAGGUGGAGGUGGAGGUGGAGGUGGAGGUGGAGGUGGCUGAUUAUUCCAGUGAUGCGCGAAGGCCAACGAUGAAUCAACCACCACCAUGCCGCAUCAACGUAUUAAUUUUUCCAUCAUUGGGCAAAUUUUUAGAAAAACAAUCAAAUCCAAAGCGAAUUACAAAUUCAAAUAGACACAGGAGAGUGGCAACGGCGUGCAGUGCAGCCAAACUAGGGUUUUUUAGAUCGAGAGGAGGAAACGGAA
This 458-nucleotide long non-coding RNA is filed under the name Olea europaea subsp. europaea. The record is from RNAcentral. Lineage: Eukaryota; Viridiplantae; Streptophyta; Magnoliopsida; Lamiales; Oleaceae.